This 200-nucleotide ribosomal RNA is filed under the name uncultured bacterium. RNAcentral describes it as "partial 16S ribosomal RNA". It matches the Rfam family "Bacterial small subunit ribosomal RNA", at positions 26 to 225 of the family's 1533-position model. The record is from RNAcentral.
AGGACGAACGCUGGCGGCGUGCUUAACACAUGCAAGUCGAGCGGUAAGGCCCUUUCGGGGGUACGACGAGCGGCGAACGGGUGAGUAACACGUGGGUGACCUGCCUUUAGCUCUGGGAUAAGCCUGGGAAACGUGGGUCUAAUACCGGAUAUGACCCUAUGGCGCAUGUUGUGGGGUGGAAAGCCUUGUGCGGCUAGGGA